AAAUUGAAGAGUUUGAUCAUGGCUCAGAUUGAACGCUGGCGGCAGGCCUAACACAUGCAAGUCGAACGGUAACAGGAAGCAGCUUGCUGCUUUGCUGACGAGUGGCGGACGGGUGAGUAAUGUCUGGGAAACUGCCUGAUGGAGGGGGAUAACUACUGGAAACGGUGGCUAAUACCGCAUAACGUCGCAAGACCAAAGAGGGGGACCUUCGGGCCUCUUGCCAUCAGAUGUGCCCAGAUGGGAUUAGCUAGUUGGUGAGGUAACGGCUCACCAAGGCGACGAUCCCUAGCUGGUCUGAGAGGAUGACCAGCCACACUGGAACUGAGACACGGUCCAGACUCCUACGGGAGGCAGCAGUGGGGAAUAUUGCACAAUGGGCGCAAGCCUGAUGCAGCCAUGCCGCGUGUAUGAA
RNAcentral lists this ribosomal RNA (412 nucleotides) under Salmonella enterica subsp. enterica serovar Heidelberg str. RI-11-013988. Its description in RNAcentral is "bacterial SSU rRNA". It matches the Rfam family "Bacterial small subunit ribosomal RNA", at positions 1 to 409 of the family's 1533-position model. The record is from RNAcentral. Lineage: Bacteria; Pseudomonadati; Pseudomonadota; Gammaproteobacteria; Enterobacterales; Enterobacteriaceae.